AAGGAUUCCCUUAGUAGCGGCGAGCGAACAGGGAAAAGCCCAGCACUGAAGCCCGUAAUCGGUAACGGUUACAGAGCAAUGUAGUGUUUGGGAGUGCCCGUUUAACCUAAGCAAUAUAUAAGUGAGUUCAAGUCCUUCUUGAAGGGGGCCAUUUUCCCAUAGAGGGUGCUAGGCCCGUAGUAACCAUUUAUAUGUUUAGGUGGGUAUCUCCUUAGAGUCGGGUUGCUUGAGAGUGCAGCUCUAAGUGGGUGGUAAACUCCAUCUAAGGCUAAAUAUGACUACGAAACCGAUAGCGAACAAGUACCGUGAGGGAAAGUUGAAAAGAACUUUGCAGAGAGAGUUCAAGAGUACGUGAAACUGUUCAGGGGUAAACCUGUAAUACCCAAAUAGUUCGAAAGAGGUGAUUCAUUUGUUUUUCCGUUUAUAAUCAUUUUUCAGUAUAUAGACAUGUAUAAAUCAUUUAUGAUUUUUAAUCGUAUUUGUUAUAUUAUAUAUGCUAUUCUGAUUAAUGUAUAUUUUAUAUUCGGUGGCAUGCACUUCAUCUCUAGUAGAGCGUCGUAACUCAUUAGAUAUAAUUAUGAAUAUAUAUGUGGUGUUUAAGGUUCACAAUGGAGACCGUGGCGUCAUAUUAUUUUUUAUUAAAUAUUAUGUGCGACCCGGACUUGUGUUAUCCUGACACUCUAUCUGAKGGUAUAUAUAUAAAAAUGUAAAUCACAUUACUAAUGUGUGUUAUAAUAUAUUACUAUAACAAAUAUUAAUAUGGUCUGUAAAAAAUAGAUAUUAAAUGCUGUUUUUACGCAUAUUAUAUUGUUGGUUAUAGUAUACUUGAACAGAUUUGAUGAACAUUUGUUUACGACGUAUAUGUAUUGGGUAAUUACAGGACCCGUCUUGAAACACGGACCAAGGAGUCUAGCAUGUACGCAAGUCAUUGGGUAUAUAUAAUAUUUUUACUUGUAAAAAUUUAUAUAUAUUAAACCUAAAGGCGAAAUGAAAGUGAAAUAUUAAUUUUUUUCCUCAUAUUUAUUUAUGUUGGUCAAAAAAAUUAAUUAGGGAAGAUGGGUAUUAAUAAAAAUAAUACCUCGCAUUCCCGGGGCGUCACAUAUAACUUAUUGCAAGUUGUGGCGCACCAAGAGCGUAUACGCUGGGACCCGAAAGAUGGUGAACUAUGCCUGGUCAGGAKGAAGUCAGGGGAAACCCUGAUGGAGGUCCGUAGCGAUUCUGACGUGCAAAUCGAUCGUAUGAACUGGGUAUAGGGGCGAAAGACUAAUCGAACCAUCUAGUAGCUGGUUCCNUCCGAAGUUUCCCUCAGGAUAGCUGGCAUUCGGAUGUAUAAAUUAUUUUUAUGUAUAUUAUAUUAUAUGAGUUUCAUCCGGUAAAGCGAAUGAUUAGAGGCAUUGGGAUCGAAACGAUCUCAACCUAUUCUCAAACUUUAAAUGGGUGAGAACUCUGGCUUGCUUAAAUUGAUGAAGCCAUGAGUGAAAUAUUAUUAUUAUAUGAAUCAAAGACUGCCAAGUGGGCCAUUUUUG
This 1526-nucleotide ribosomal RNA is filed under the name Brachinus sp. BT0086. RNAcentral describes it as "partial 28S ribosomal RNA". It matches the Rfam family "Eukaryotic large subunit ribosomal RNA", at positions 70 to 1139 of the family's 3401-position model. The record is from RNAcentral. Lineage: Eukaryota; Metazoa; Arthropoda; Insecta; Coleoptera; Carabidae.